CUUCAGCAAAGUAAGUUUACUGUGCUCUUUCUCCCCAUGGGGCCAUGUGCAGAGGCUGAGAGAGUGGCUGCUUGAUACUGUCCAUAGCCUGUGGUUUGUAUAAGUAGACCUAAAGGGCCCUGGAGACAAUC
Small nucleolar RNA from Sorex fumeus (smoky shrew), 131 nucleotides. RefSeq annotates it as small nucleolar RNA SNORA70. Lineage: Eukaryota; Metazoa; Chordata; Mammalia; Eulipotyphla; Soricidae. The record is from RefSeq and is a predicted model, not a curated record. The transcript has a single exon.